RNAcentral lists this ribosomal RNA (774 nucleotides) under uncultured Neocallimastigales. RNAcentral describes it as "partial large subunit ribosomal RNA". It matches the Rfam family "Eukaryotic large subunit ribosomal RNA", at positions 24 to 616 of the family's 3401-position model. The record is from RNAcentral. Lineage: Eukaryota; Fungi; Neocallimastigomycota; Neocallimastigomycetes; Neocallimastigales.
UACGACUACAUAUCAGGCAUAUCAAUAAGCGGAGGAAAAGAAACUAACAAGGAUUCCCUUAGUAACGGCGAGUGAAGCGGGAAGAGCUCAAAUUUGAAAUCUUCAAGGUUUUACCUUGACGAAUUGUAGUUUAAAGAAGUGUUUUCUGUUGGAGUUUCGGUAAAAGUUCUUUGGAAUAGGACAUCAUAGAGGGUGAGAAUCCCGUAUUUGACCAUUAUUUUCAGCUUUGUGAUACACUUUCAAAGAGUCGGAUUGUUUGGGAAUGCAGUCCAAAAUGGGUGGUAAGUUUCAUCUAAAGCUAAAUAUUGGCGAGAGACCGAUAGCGAACAAGUACCGUGAGGGAAAGAUGAAAAGAACUUUGAGAAGAGAGUUAAACAGUACGUGAAAUUGUCAAAAGGGAAGCGUUUGACACCAGCGUUGUUUUCUCGAAAAUCAAUUAAAAAUAGUUGGAUUUUGUGUUGUAUUGACCUUAACAGCUUGCUUCACUCUUUUCCAGCUUUUUUUAAUGCACUUUUCGUUUAACAAGUCAACAUCAGUUUCUUUUGUUGUAAAAGGGUCAUUGGAAGGUGGCUUUCUCUUCGGAGAAAGUGUUUAUAGCCUUUGAUCUCUGCAAUCGGAGAGACUGAGGUCUGCAGCGUAGAUCCUUCGGGGUUAGAUACAUUUGUGCUAAGCUACAGCUUUUCAUAGACAACUUGUUGACUAUGUUUAGUCUUGUGACUUACCCGCUUAUGCUAUUUUACCUACGCUUAGGAUGUUGAGCGCAUGUCUCUCUCU